RNAcentral lists this long non-coding RNA (3186 nucleotides) under Androctonus crassicauda. Lineage: Eukaryota; Metazoa; Arthropoda; Arachnida; Scorpiones; Buthidae. The record is from RNAcentral.
AAUUGGGCUGUUGUCGAAAGUGCUCAUUUGUGUUUCACUCGAUCAGCGAUUUUUUUUUUUUUUUUUUUUUGUUUUAACUGCGAAGUUAUUUUGUUUUCGAUGAUUAAACGGUUGUUAUGGCCGUAUAAAACUAGGAAUUAAAAACAAAAGAGAGAAACUCGUUCUGUGUUAAUAACGUGGAAGAAACCAAUUAAAAACGGUUUACAACCGAAGGUUGAAAUUACAAACUAAACAAAAACAGUAAAAAAUUGCUUGUUUUCUUGUGUUUCCAGAUAAAAAUCUAGGUCAUUCUAUAUAUUCCAUCAAGUAAUAUAAAUAUAUAUAUAUAUAUACACACACACAAGACCACUGACUACAUUACUGGUUGCUUAAUCGGGGCGACUAUUGUUUUCGUCACACCAAAGAAACGGCUUCCUGAUGUAUUUAUAAAUGUAGAAAUGGGCGUAUUUUGUCAUUUACACACUAAAAAUUUUUUUCAAAACACGAAAUUUCGCAUGGAUUAAAAAAGAAGAGUAAAAAAAAAUAAUAUAUGUAUGAUAACGAUUUGGAUCUAGUUGUGAAGUCUAAGGAUGUGUUAUGACAGCAUAGACAUCUGUCGUGUUGGAAAGAAGGCAUUUUUUUUUUUUUUUCGUCAGAAUGCGGCCCCGUUCUGUCUAGUGUCUCGCUUCCUCCCCUAGUCGAGUUGUGCGGGGAGGAAAAGCAAAGCGGGUAUGACGUCAGCCGACUGUUGUAGACACACCCACUUCCAGUGUUCUAUUGUCUGAGUCUGGCAGGUGAUGGUAGUGGCCGUGUACGCUUUCUGUACGUCUGUGUGUAGUAGUGUAUUUGUGUGUGUGUGUGUGUGUGUAUGUGUGUGCGCGGAUAUAUAUUAAAAGCCGAGUAAGCGUCAGAACAGGUGAGUGAGAGUCUCGAUAUUGUUUAAUGGAUUCGCUUUUGUUCGAUUUUUGUAGAGAGGAAUGCUUUAAAAUCGUUGGCAAUCUGCUGAAGUUCUGCGAGUGGUAGUUAGAUCGCUGCACACACAGAAAAUUAUUAUCUGACAAUCGAUAGUUUUGCAUUUUAAGCGUGCACUCUUCACUUUAGUACGUCGAAUGCGUAUAUAUGUAUAAGAGCGUAAUUAACAGUCGUCGCAUUGUGUCUAUUUAACGAGUGAUAUCAUCGGCAGGAAAUCGUUCUCGACUCUGAGGGGAAAACUGACACCGGAUAUACAUCUGCGGAAAUGGUGACGUAAGCGGUGGAGGGGAUGAAGGAAUUCUGGGAAGACUACUUCCGAACGUAAGCCACCCCAAUAAUAGCAUCCUGGGAAAAGAGAAUGAAAGAUAUCGAGGCGUGCCUACUAUGCAUCCUAAUCUGGGUGGGGAAGAAAUGAUAUAGAAGUCCAACAGGGCGGGAUCGUGUCUUUUUAAAUAAGAAAAAUGGCAGUUUCCAUAGCGUAGUAUAUGUAUCUCUACUAACUACAACAGGAUCUCUAUGAACGGUGUUUAUAUUUCUAAUAACUGCAAGAGGUAACUGGUAUUUCUAAUAAACAGCGUGUAUAUUUCUAACUACAAGGGUUUCAUAACAGUGCGUAUAUUUCUAUUAACUGCAAGAUAGUUUCUUGAAUAGUGUCUAUAUUUCUACUAACUGCAAGAGGUUUUCAUAAACAGUAUGUAUACUUCUAACUACAAGAGGGUUUCUUAGUAUAGAAUGUAUAUUUCUACUAGUUACAAGAAGGUUUACAAAGCAUAAUAUUUUUACCAAUUACAAGAAAGUUUACGAAGCAUAGUGUGUAUAUUUCUACUAAUUACAAGAGGGUUUACAAAGCAUAUUGUAUAUAUUUCCACUCGUUACAAGAGAGUUUGCAAAGCGUAGUGUUUAUAUUUCUACUAGUUACAAGAGGAUUUACAAAGCAUAACAUGUAUGUUUUUACAAUUACAAGGUUUGUAAAGCAUAGUAUAUAUAUUUCUACUAGUUACAAGAGAGUUUACAAAACAUAGUUUGUAUAUUUCUAUUAGUUACAAGAGGGUUUAUAAAGCAUAGUGUUUAUAUUUCUACCGAUUACAAAGGAGUUUCUUAGCUUAGUGUAUAUAUUACUACGUAUCUCUCUUGUAACUAGUAGUUACUAGUUACAAGAGGGUUUCCAAGCAUAUUGUGCAUUUCUACCAAUUACAAGAGGGUUUCUUAGCCGAGUGUGUGUAUAUUUCUAGUAAAUUUAAGAAGGUUUCCAUAUCACAGUGUACGUAUCUCUACUAACUGCAAGUGUUUAUCCCCACGUUGCUUAUUAAGGUCAAUCGUUAUCUUAUGCCAAAGUUUUUGGUGGGACAAUCGUAUCGAUUUGGCAAUUUCCACGCGGCGUGCUUCGAUAAUUAAGCAUGCAUGGCAGAUCGCGUAUUCGCUCCGUUGUGUAAGCAGAAUGACACAGCGAUGAUUUCCAAACUAAUGACAGAAACAUUAUAUAGACCAACAACGAUAGUUUGUACGACAAACAACGUUUCAGUACCAGGUGAUGCACACACGCGCGCAUACAUACAUACAUAUACACCCCUUUUCUAUCAAAAUAUUUGUUCGCCACCGACGAAAAAUUUCUGCCAACGAACGUAAUUAAACAAAAUUGGAAUUAAGACUUCGGUUAUACGGGAUUUAUGUUACGAGAAUUGAUUAGCUGAUCGUUCAUCCAAGUAUUGCGUUAUGGUAUUAUGGCUUAACAGCGAGAGAAGCAGUGCGGUUAAGUCUUCCAUGCGUGCCAAAUGACUAUACACGCUGAUUGUGUCGAGAGGAAAUAUAAAAAUCCCACUUGUCUGACCUCCGUUCAUUGUUUUAAUGCGACCUCGCCAUUACGAAAAUCGAUUCUUCGAAUUUCUGUUCGACUUCAUUAGUUUUUCCUUCCUGACUUCGUCAUUCUCAGAAAAUUUAAGGGUUUAACAUAGAAAAAAAAAAAACAAAAAAAGUCUCGAUUCUCACUAGAAAUCGAAUCCGGAUCGAGUAUCUCUCGAGGUGAACCACUUUGCAUAGCAAUGACCCAACUUUCGUUUUUAUCGUCACGCGAUGUUAAGUGUUGCCAUACGUGCCGAGUUAAAAAAGAAAAAUAAUAAUAAUAAUAAUAAUAAUGUGGAAGCAGAAACCGUGCAUUUUAAAUUGCAAUUUCUGGAAAGUAAAAAAAAAAAAAAAAUUUAAAUGAUGUAACGUUACCGCUAACAAUUAUAAAUGGCC